UUUAUGGAGAGUUUGAUCCUGGCUCAGGAUGAACGCUGGCGGCGUGCCUAAUACAUGCAAGUCGAGCGAACGGACGAGAAGCUUGCUUCUCUGAUGUUAGCGGCGGACGGGUGAGUAACACGUGGAUAACCUACCUAUAAGACUGGGAUAACUUCGGGAAACCGGAGCUAAUACCGGAUAAUAUUUGAACCGCAUGGUUCAAAAGUGAAAGACGGUCUUGCUGUCACUUAUAGAUGGAUCCGCGCUGCAUUAGCUAGUUGGUAAGGUAACGGCUUACCAAGGCAACGAUGCAUAGCCGACCUGAGAGGGUGAUCGGCCACACUGGAACUGAGACACGGUCCAGACUCCUACGGGAGGCAGCAGUAGGGAAUCUUCCGCAAUGGGCGAAAGCCUGACGGAGCAACGCCGCGUGAGUGAUGAAGGUCUUCGGAUCGUAAAACUCUGUUAUUAGGGAAGAACAUAUGUGUAAGUAACUGUGCACAUCUUGACGGUACCUAAUCAGAAAGCCACGGCUAACUACGUGCCAGCAGCCGCGGUAAUACGUAGGUGGCAAGCGUUAUCCGGAAUUAUUGGGCGUAAAGCGCGCGUAGGCGGUUUUUUAAGUCUGAUGUGAAAGCCCACGGCUCAACCGUGGAGGGUCAUUGGAAACUGGAAAACUUGAGUGCAGAAGAGGAAAGUGGAAUUCCAUGUGUAGCGGUGAAAUGCGCAGAGAUAUGGAGGAACACCAGUGGCGAAGGCGACUUUCUGGUCUGUAACUGACGCUGAUGUGCGAAAGCGUGGGGAUCAAACAGGAUUAGAUACCCUGGUAGUCCACGCCGUAAACGAUGAGUGCUAAGUGUUAGGGGGUUUCCGCCCCUUAGUGCUGCAGCUAACGCAUUAAGCACUCCGCCUGGGGAGUACGACCGCAAGGUUGAAACUCAAAGGAAUUGACGGGGACCCGCACAAGCGGUGGAGCAUGUGGUUUAAUUCGAAGCAACGCGAAGAACCUUACCAAAUCUUGACAUCCUUUGACAACUCUAGAGAUAGAGCCUUCCCCUUCGGGGGACAAAGUGACAGGUGGUGCAUGGUUGUCGUCAGCUCGUGUCGUGAGAUGUUGGGUUAAGUCCCGCAACGAGCGCAACCCUUAAGCUUAGUUGCCAUCAUUAAGUUGGGCACUCUAAGUUGACUGCCGGUGACAAACCGGAGGAAGGUGGGGAUGACGUCAAAUCAUCAUGCCCCUUAUGAUUUGGGCUACACACGUGCUACAAUGGACAAUACAAAGGGCAGCGAAACCGCGAGGUCAAGCAAAUCCCAUAAAGUUGUUCUCAGUUCGGAUUGUAGUCUGCAACUCGACUACAUGAAGCUGGAAUCGCUAGUAAUCGUAGAUCAGCAUGCUACGGUGAAUACGUUCCCGGGUCUUGUACACACCGCCCGUCACACCACGAGAGUUUGUAACACCCGAAGCCGGUGGAGUAACCUUUUAGGAGCUAGCCGUCGAAGGUGGGACAAAUGAUUGGGGUGAAGUCGUAACAAGGUAGCCGUAUCGGAAGGUGCGGCUGGAUCACCUCCUUU
This 1551-nucleotide ribosomal RNA is filed under the name Staphylococcus aureus. RNAcentral's name for it is "16S ribosomal RNA". It matches the Rfam family "Bacterial small subunit ribosomal RNA". Lineage: Bacteria; Bacillati; Bacillota; Bacilli; Caryophanales; Staphylococcaceae. The record is from RNAcentral.